GUGGGGAAUAUUGGACAAUGGGCGCAAGCCUGAUCCAGCAAUGCCGCGUGUGUGAAGAAGGUCUUCGGAUCGUAAAGCACUUUCGACGGGGACGAUGAUGACGGUACCCGUAGAAGAAGCCCCGGCUAACUUCGUGCCAGCAGCCGCGGUAAUACGAAGGGGGCUAGCGUUGCUCGGAAUUACUGGGCGUAAAGGGCGCGUAGGCGGCUUGGCCAGUCAGGCGUGAAAUUCCUGGGCUUAACCUGGGGACUGCGCUUGAUACUGCUGAGCUUGAGGCCGAGAGAGGGUGGUGGAAUUCCCAGUGUAGAGGUGAAAUUCGUAGAUAUUGGGAAGAACACCGGUGGCGAAGGCGACCACCUGGCUCGGUACUGACGCUGAGGCGCGACAGCGUGGGGAGCAAACAGGAUUAGAUACCCGAGUAGUCC
RNAcentral lists this ribosomal RNA (425 nucleotides) under uncultured bacterium. Its description in RNAcentral is "bacterial SSU rRNA". It matches the Rfam family "Bacterial small subunit ribosomal RNA", at positions 354 to 796 of the family's 1533-position model. The record is from RNAcentral.